RNAcentral lists this ribosomal RNA (439 nucleotides) under uncultured bacterium. RNAcentral describes it as "partial 16S ribosomal RNA". It matches the Rfam family "Bacterial small subunit ribosomal RNA", at positions 339 to 795 of the family's 1533-position model. The record is from RNAcentral.
CUACGGGACGCUGCAGUGAGGAAUAUUGCACAAUGGGGGGAACCCUGAUGCAGCAACGCCGCGUGGAGGAUGACGCAUUUCGGUGUGUAAACUCCUUUUAUAUGUCAAGAAAAUGACGGUAGCAUAUGAAUAAGCACCGGCUAACUCCGUGCCAGCAGCUGCGGUAAUACGGAGGGUGUAAGCGUUACUCGGAAUCACUGGGCGUAAAGGACGCGUAGGCGGGUUGGAAAGUCAGGUGUGAAAUCCUACAGCUUAACUGUAGAACUGCACUUGAAACUUCUAAUCUAGAGUAUGGGAGGGGGAGAUGGAAUUAGUGGUGUAGGGGUAAAAUCCGUAGAUAUCACUAGGAAUACCUAAAGCGAAGGCGAUCUCCUGGAACAUUACUGACGCUAAGGCGUGAAAGCGUGGGGAGCAAACAGGAUUAGAUACCCCAGUAGUC